CCACCCAACCACUUACAUCUGCAUACUAACAUCUGUAUGCGAACCUUCUGUCGAUGCUAUCAAAGGCUCUCCAUGUGCACCUCUCAUAAAUAAUGUGAUUAUCCUUAGCUGUAUUUAUUAUUAUUUUUUUGCAGGAACAAAGUCAUCUGGAUCGGUAUAAUUUCACAGAUAGGAAUAGCUUUGAUUCUCUGUUAUGGUCUUGGAAGCAUCAGUGCCUUGAAUUUCGAACCUCUUCGGGUCCAGUAUUGGUUUGUCUCCGUGCCUAAUGCCAUCUUGAUAUGGGUCUACGAUGAAAUGCGCAAGUUAUUCAUCCGACGAUAUCCCGGAAGCUGGUGGGAUAAAAACAUGUACUACUGAGAGUGAUGGAUGGUAUACAACAGGGGCCUUUUUUGGGGGGGUCGCUCCUUCAAAGUUGUGUUUGUGCAAUAUCAAUUGGUAGCAGGAUCUCCUCCCUGGAGGGAAAGAAAAAAAAAAAAGAAGAGAAGGACCAUGGGACUGUAAAAGAAUUCACCUGGGAUUACCAACUUGAAUAUUUCCCGUUUUUAUUGCCCGAUCCUUUAAGUGUUGAACAUGUACGAAGUCUGAAGCCUCUUGUAUAUAGAGCGAAAGAAACCGAAGGAUUGUCCUUCCCGUGACAGCAAAAAGGACGGCCUUCGAAUUGCACUUUCUUCAAAGUUGUACUUUUUUCGUUCAGCGUGACCAUGGCACCUCCUGCAAGCAAUCCCAGCGGAAGCUCUCAGGUGUCGAUCGCCUUGCGUGGCCCUGGAUUGCAGUGUACAAAUAUAGUUUGAUAAUAAAAGCCUUUUUUAUGGAAAAAUCUCUGUUUUGUCAUGCCUGGUUCCUUAACAGUUGGCAGAAGCUGGUGC
This is a non-coding RNA of Thamnophis sirtalis, 866 nucleotides long. The record is from RefSeq and is a predicted model, not a curated record. Lineage: Eukaryota; Metazoa; Chordata; Lepidosauria; Squamata; Natricidae.